ACUAUUUUGACAGAUAAAUGUAUUAAAUUUAGAAUUUAAAAAUGUAUAUAAAUUAAAUAUACAAAUAGUA
RNAcentral lists this transfer RNA (70 nucleotides) under Ernodes articularis. RNAcentral's name for it is "tRNA-Leu". The record is from RNAcentral. Lineage: Eukaryota; Metazoa; Arthropoda; Insecta; Trichoptera; Beraeidae.